CUAAAGGCCCUUUUCAGGGCCACCCACUUUAUCAUAAAGAGGGCUU
Neotoma lepida (desert woodrat) is the source of this 46-nucleotide regulatory RNA element. It matches the Rfam family "Histone 3' UTR stem-loop". Rfam says of the family: The mRNAs of metazoan histone genes lack a poly-A tail. 3' end processing occurs at a site between a highly conserved stem-loop (modelled by this family) and a purine rich region around 20 nts downstream (the histone downstream element, or HDE). Lineage: Eukaryota; Metazoa; Chordata; Mammalia; Rodentia; Cricetidae. The record is from Rfam.